AACGACUCUCGGCAACGGAUAUCCCGGCUCUCGCAUCGAUGAAGAACGUAGCGAAAUGCGAUACUUGGUGUGAAUUGCAGAAUCCCGUGAACCAUCGAGUCUUUGAACGCAAGUUGCGCCCGAAGCCACUAGGCUGAGGGCACGCCUGCCUGGGUGUCACGC
Molecule: ribosomal RNA, 162 nt
Filed under: Tetrataenium nepalense
Lineage: Eukaryota; Viridiplantae; Streptophyta; Magnoliopsida; Apiales; Apiaceae
Description: 5.8S ribosomal RNA
Rfam family: 5.8S ribosomal RNA
About the family: 5.8S ribosomal RNA (5.8S rRNA) is a component of the large subunit of the eukaryotic ribosome. It is transcribed by RNA polymerase I as part of the 45S precursor that also contains 18S and 28S rRNA. Functionally, it is thought that 5.8S rRNA may be involved in ribosome translocation.
Source: RNAcentral